RNAcentral lists this ribosomal RNA (256 nucleotides) under uncultured bacterium. Its description in RNAcentral is "partial 16S ribosomal RNA". It matches the Rfam family "Bacterial small subunit ribosomal RNA", at positions 28 to 286 of the family's 1533-position model. The record is from RNAcentral.
GACGAACGCUGGCGGCGUGCUUAACACAUGCAAGUCGAGCGGUAAGGCCCUUUCGGGGGUACACGCGCGGCGAACGGGUGAGUAACACGUGGGUGACCUGCCCUCAGCUCUGGGAUAAGCCUGGGAAACCGGGUCUAAUACUGGAUAUGACUCCAUGACGCAUGUUGUGGGGUGGAAAGCCUUGUGCGGCUGAGGAUGGGCCCGCGGCCUAUCAGCUUGUUGGUGGGGUGANGGCCUACCAAGGCGACGACGGUAG